UACGAAGGGGGCGAGCGUUGUUCGGAUUUACUGGGCGUAAAGGGCGCGUAGGCGGCCCUCCUUGUCGCGUGUGAAAGCCCCGGGCUCAACCUGGGAAUUGCGCGCGAAACGGGGGGGCUUGAGUUCGGGAGAUGAGCGUGGAAUUCCCAGUGUAGAGGUGAAAUUCGUAGAUAUUGGGAAGAACACCGGUGGCGAAGGCGGCGCUCUGGACCGAGACUGACGCUGAGGCGCGAAGGCUAGGGGAGCAAACGGG
RNAcentral lists this ribosomal RNA (253 nucleotides) under uncultured bacterium. RNAcentral's name for it is "partial 16S ribosomal RNA". It matches the Rfam family "Bacterial small subunit ribosomal RNA", at positions 524 to 776 of the family's 1533-position model. The record is from RNAcentral.